CGCAGCCGCGGUAAUUCCAGCUCCAAUAGCGUAUAUUAAAGUUGUUGCAGUUAAAAAGCUCGUAGUUGAAUUUCGGGAUCAAUUAAUUGGUCGUGCCUCUGGUACGUACUGAUUUUAUUGGUUUCUCCCUUCUGACGAACCAUGAUGUCAUUAAUUUGGUGUCGUGGAGAAUCAGGACUGUUACUUUGAAAAAAUUAGAGUGUUUAAAGCAAGCUAACGCUUGAAUACAUUAGCAUGGAAUAAUGAAAUAGGACGUUUGAUCCUAUUUUGUUGGUUUCUAGGAUCGACGUAAUGAUUAAUAGGGAUAGUUGGGGGCAUUAGUAUUCAAUUGUCAGAGGUGAAAUUCUUGGAUUUAUUGAAGACUAACUACUGCGAAAGCAUUUGCCAAGGAUGUUUUCAUUAAUCAAGAACGAAAGUUAGGGGAUCGAAGACGAUCAGAUACCGUCGUAGUCUUAACCAUAAACUAUGCCGACUAGGGAUCGGAUGAUGUUAAUUUUUUUAAUGACUCAUUCGGCGCCUU
RNAcentral lists this unclassified non-coding RNA (520 nucleotides) under uncultured Glomus. RNAcentral's name for it is "SSU rRNA". It matches the Rfam family "Eukaryotic small subunit ribosomal RNA", at positions 569 to 1089 of the family's 1831-position model. The record is from RNAcentral. Lineage: Eukaryota; Fungi; Glomeromycota; Glomeromycetes; Glomerales; Glomeraceae.